This 148-nucleotide non-coding RNA is filed under the name Pan paniscus (pygmy chimpanzee). RNAcentral also lists the same sequence under 1 other name. Lineage: Eukaryota; Metazoa; Chordata; Mammalia; Primates; Hominidae. The record is from Rfam by way of RNAcentral.
GCUGGGUGUGGUGGUGCACGCCUGUAAUCCCAGCUACUCGGGAAGCUGAGGCAGGAGAAUCACUUGAACCCAGGAGUUGGAAGCUGCAGUGACCUGAGAUCCUGCCACUGUACUCCAGCCUGGGCGAUAGAGUAAGAUCCUGUCUCAA